Molecule: long non-coding RNA, 3772 nt
Organism: Pan troglodytes (chimpanzee)
Lineage: Eukaryota; Metazoa; Chordata; Mammalia; Primates; Hominidae
Exons: 5
Source: RefSeq, a predicted model, not a curated record
GUGUUAAAGUGAACUAAAUAUGGCCUGAGAGGGAUUCCCUACUUCUAUAUUUGAGUUCUUGUGGAUGAGCUGCAACCUAGCUUAAUAGGCAAACAAGAUGGAAAACCUAACUUAGGAGCAUGCGCCCGUAACAAUCGCUGAGUCUUGACCGAUCCCGGCAGCCGUACUUCAACGAUUCGUGCACUGCUGAGUGUUCAAACUGUGUGCAAAUAAGGCAACGCCAACAUGUCACCAAUCCAGCUGUUUCUGGACCUCACUUCCGAUUUGUGUAUGUCACUUUACUUUUUUUUUUUUUUUGCCUGUAAAUUUGACCACUGGAGUCUCUCUGAAUCUGCUGUGAUUCUGGGGGCUGCCUGAUUCGCGAAUCGUUAAUUGCUCAAUGAAACUCCGUUGCAUUUAAUUAGGCUGAAGUUUUUCUUUUAACUCCCGGAAAGGGCUUCCUCGGGCCGGCCGGCCGGCCCUUCAGGCCACUCGUGCUCUCAGCCAGGCAGUUGCUCCAAUAAAGUCCAGGGCCAGCCCUGCCAGGGCCUCAGCCCCACACCUCGGGGAGUGCUGCUCCCAGCUCCCACUCUGCCCUGCGCCUCUGCCUCCCGGCAGGGCUCCCCCCACACAUGGAAUGAAUGCUUCUCUGGCAUACUCUGAUUUCACCGCAGCUACAGCCGCCUUUCUAGAAUGAUAUUCCUGCUGCUGCCUGGAGAUCCUCUUCACCCUUCACCUGGUGGAGAAGCCUUCUCAGCCCCACCAGCUGUCUCCAAACCCAGCCAAGGACUCAGAGUGUGGGGCCUGAAGGAGGGGCUCUCAGCAAAGCCUUCCUGGAUGAAGGGGCUCAUCCUCUGCAUUGCAUGAUGAGAAAAAGGCCCAGAAAGCCCCAGACCCUGCGGGUGUGGAGCGGGAGCCCAGGAAGCAAACCUCAGCAGCCCUGUGUGGGGACAGGGAGGCCACUCUGCAGAGGACCGCUGAGCUGUCUCCAUUGUGGUUUAGGAACUGCCCAGGUGGAAAGUGGGAAGAUAAAUCAGAUCCCUGCUACUCCUUAAGCAGAAGUGAAAUUCAUUCAUGGUCUGGACAGACUUCUUUGUGCUUCAGAAGCUCAUCAUCAACACAGCAGAUUGCACUGGAACUUCCUCAGUGCAUGCAGAUGUGGAAGCCACCUCCUGGUUCAUCUAGUACAUGCUCAACCAUGGCCUGAGUGGCUCAGAUGUAUUUGGGCCUCAUUGCAUUUAGCAAGUUAAUUGCUCAUUAAGAGGAAGGGACAUUCACAGAGCUGGACCAACAUCCUGAUAAAAUACCCAGUGACUUUCAGUGUUUGAUUUAUGAGCACAGGCUCGGCUCCUUGCAGGCUUGUGUCAGGACGGGCUGGAGCGAUAAGCACAUAUUUAUCUUCAGGCCUUGAAGAAUGACAGGGGAACGCGGUACUGUAAAGGCAACAAAGCCACCCCGUGGGCAGAGGACAGUCGCUGGGUGCAUUGGGAAAGCUGGAGCAGACUCCUUGUGGGAAGACAAUGAACGGAAUUAGAAGUUAGGGUUUUAAUUAUCAUACAAAUUAGAAGAGGAUUAAUCAGCUCAUAUUUUAUGACAUGACAUGGUGUGGAGGACUGCCGGUUAAGUUUUAUGGCAAAUCUUUGAUUAAUUGAGACACAGCAUGAAGGUAUAAAAUCCACACUACAGCUGCAUGUUAAUCUCUCCCUUUCCUUCCAAGGUUAGAAGCCAGUGUAAGAGAGACGGCUGCUGAAGACACAUAGCCGCACGUGCGAACAUGGCCUCACAGCUUGCCUCUCCAUAAGAGGUUUAUUUGUCUUCUCAUAUUUGUUCAAUGUGGACAAGAACCUUCUGGCCCCUGCUCCUCUUUUGCAUUUGGAAUCCUUUGACUUCUGCUUUCUUGAGGAGUGAGGCUCCUGGGCAAGUUGUCACCCAACUCUGGGCAGUCAUCCCAGGACCUGAGAGUCACUGCAAAUCCUUGCUCAGAACCCCAUGCCCAUGUGUUCAUCCUUGCAUACUUUCCCAGGCCCCAGACCAAAUUAAAACUUGGCAGUUGAAUCACGGUUUUCACAAAAUCAGCCCAACAAACUAUGGCUCCAAGUCCAGCAGGGCUGGGCCACUCAAGGCAGAGUAAAGUUUCAGAGACAGAAAUGGAAACCUGACCAGGGCUGCCCAGGAGCCGUGACGAAGGAGACUUGUCACUCUGUCGCUGCAAACACAGAAGUGUUUAGAGUGUGUAGGCCACUGUUCCAGGUAGGAGUCUCAUGGAGAACUUGAGAAGGAGGACUGUGUGUGUGCGGCCAAGGUAAGUCUCAGACGGAAGGCAUGUGCUAACAGGGCAGCUAACAGAUCUGCAGAACGUAAUGUGCCUGACCCUGAGCUGCUGAUCUACCUCACACUCCAAUUCAAUUCAGUCCUUUCAGUUGCUUAAGGAAAUCUGCAGUUAUCUGAUUUCUCAACGAGUCCUGUAGGUUCUACUAUAAAAAUAUACGGAAGAACCACCUACUUCUCACCACUGCUAUUUAGACCAUGCUGCUCCACCCACUUCUACCUUCACCUGGGCUCUGGGUUACUGCGGUAACUUCCUCCUCGGCCCACAUCUUCCAUCCCUGUCCACUUAGGUCUAUUCUCAACACACCUGCCAGAAUGAGGUGUUGAAAUGUAAAUCAAAUCAUGUCCCCACUCUGCUCAGCCCUCUGAUGACUGUGACUCACUUCAAAUACAAGUCAGUCUGUGUGGUGCCCUGCAAGGCAAUGAGAUCUGGCCCUGGUGACCUCUUGGGCCUCACUUCCCACUGCUGUCCUUUUUCCACUCCACAUAGCGUCACAGCAUUGGCACUUGCUGGCUCCCCUGCCUGGAAUUCUCCUCCUUCUGGUAGCCAUGUGGCCCAGCUCCCUUGCUCUGUUUCAGCCUUCCCCCAAGGAAGAAUGAGGCUGCUCUACCUUCAGACCCAAAACGCAACAUGAACUCUCCUCUGGGUCAGGAAUGCCUUGUUUAGCCACCCUAUGUACAACGGGAGCUCUCUCUUCAACAGACUCAACAGUAGCCCAUGGCAUACAGAUGUUCUGGUGAAUGUUCAAUAUCUGGUUUGUGGCUAGGGGAUGGGCACACCAAUUUUUGGUGCUUAUUGAUUUCCACAAUGUAAAUGCUUUCACUGUGGCCAAUUUUAAGCUACCAAAGUGAUGACACAACUGCCUUGCAAAAUUCCUGAAAGUAAAGUAAUUGGCUUUUGCAAGCCAGUGUGAGCUGGCUCUGGCACACGCUAUAGUCCUUGUCUGUUCUGUUUUUCCCCUUGGUUUCAAUUCUGACAUACUAUAUACGUCAUUUAUAUAUCAUGUAUAUUAGAUGUCUUCCCAUUACAAUAUAAUUUUCACAGGAGCAGUGAUCUUUUGACACUUUGUUCAUUGCUGGUACAGUGUCCACUACAGGGCCUAUCACAAGUAGGUGCUCAAUACAAUUUUGCUGAAUGAGAGUAUUAAUGAAAGAUGAGCGUCUACUCCUUAUCAGAUAUUGACAAGUUUGGGGAUACAGAGAAUAAGACAAUGUUCUUGAUCUUGACUUCUAUCCAGUGGUGAAGACAAGCCUUUGCAAUACAAUGAAAUAGCAACUAAAUAGUGGUUAUUCCUGGUAGGCGUUAGAACAUAGAAAAAUCAUUGAAACAAAAUUUAAGUAUCAGAGUUGAUUAAUUCUUAUGUGAAUGGGGAUGUAAUUGUGUAACUAUUAAUAGUAUUUGACCAAGGCUCCCUGGAAUGUCUUCUAAUACCCUUUGUCUUCAUUAAAUUUUAGAUAUAUACAU